GACGAACGCUGGCGGCGUGCUUAACACAUGCCAGUCGAACGGAAAGGCCCUGCUUUUGUGGGGUGCUCGGGUGGCGAACGGGGGAGUAACACGUGAGUAACCUGCCCUUGCCUUUGGGAUAACUUCAGGAAACUGGGGCUAAUACCGCAUAGGAGCUCCUGCUGCAUGGUGUGGGGUGGAAAGUUUCGGCGGUUGGGGAUGGACUCGCGGCUUAUCAGCUUGUUGGUGGGGUAGUGGCUUACGAAGGCUUUGACGGGUAGCCGGCCUGAGAGGGUGACCGGCGACAUUGGGACUGAGAUACGGCCCAGACUCCUACGGGAGGCAGCAGUGGGGAAUAUUGCACAAUGGGCGGAAGCCUGAUGCAGCAACGCCGGGUGCGGGAUGACGGCCUUCGGGUUGUAAACCGCUUUCGCCUGUGACGAAGCGUGAGUGACGGUAAUGGGUAAAGAAGCACCGGCUAACUACGUG
This 468-nucleotide ribosomal RNA is filed under the name uncultured bacterium. RNAcentral's name for it is "partial 16S ribosomal RNA". It matches the Rfam family "Bacterial small subunit ribosomal RNA", at positions 28 to 507 of the family's 1533-position model. The record is from RNAcentral.